GACCCCAGGUCAGGCGGGAAUUCCCCGCUUGAGUUUUAGGCAUAUCAAUAGGCGGGAGAAA
RNAcentral lists this ribosomal RNA (61 nucleotides) under Panicum miliaceum (proso millet). RNAcentral describes it as "partial 28S ribosomal RNA". The record is from RNAcentral. Lineage: Eukaryota; Viridiplantae; Streptophyta; Magnoliopsida; Poales; Poaceae.